GACGAACGCUGGCGGCGUGCUUAACACAUGCAAGUCGUACGGUAAGGCCCUUUCGGGGGUACACGAGUGGCGCACGGGUGCGUAACACGUGAGUAACCUGCCCACAACUUUUGGAUAACGCUAGGAAACUGGUGCUAAUACUGGAUAUGUGCUCCUGCUGCAUGGUGGGGGUUGGAAAGCUCCGGCGGUUGUGGUUGGACUCGCGGCCUAUCAGCUUGUUGGUGGGGUAGUGGCCUACCAAGGCGGCGACGGGUAGCCGGCCUGAGAGGGUGACCGGACACAUUGGGACUGAGAUACGGCCCAGACUCCGACGGGAGGCAGCAGUGGAGAAUAUUGCAAAAUGGGCGCAAGCCUGAUGCAGCAACGCCGAGUGCGGGAGGACGGCCUUCAGGUGGUAAACCGCUUUCAGCAGGGACGAAGAAUUUUGUGACGGUACCUGCAGAAGAAGCACCGGCUAACUACGUG
This 465-nucleotide ribosomal RNA is filed under the name uncultured bacterium. RNAcentral describes it as "partial 16S ribosomal RNA". It matches the Rfam family "Bacterial small subunit ribosomal RNA", at positions 28 to 507 of the family's 1533-position model. The record is from RNAcentral.